This 253-nucleotide ribosomal RNA is filed under the name uncultured bacterium. RNAcentral's name for it is "partial 16S ribosomal RNA". It matches the Rfam family "Bacterial small subunit ribosomal RNA", at positions 524 to 776 of the family's 1533-position model. The record is from RNAcentral.
UACGUAGGGGGCAAGCGUUGUCCGGAUUUAUUGGGCGUAAAGAGCGUGUAGGCGGCUUUACAGGUCCGUUGUGAAAACUCGAGGCUCAACCUCGAGACGCCGGUGGAAACCGUAAGGCUAGAGUCCGGAAGAGGAGAGUGGAAUUCCUGGUGUAGCGGUGAAAUGCGCAGAUAUCAGGAGGAACACCCAUAGCGAAGGCAGCUUGCUGGGACGUUACUGACGCUAAGGCGCGAAAGCGUGGGGAGCGAACAGG